RNAcentral lists this long non-coding RNA (8647 nucleotides) under Homo sapiens (human). Its description in RNAcentral is "non-protein coding lnc-RPRML-1:4". Lineage: Eukaryota; Metazoa; Chordata; Mammalia; Primates; Hominidae. The record is from RNAcentral.
AUCAUCUGCUGUUCUCUGCCGCAGAGAGGACUGGAGGUUCUUGCUUGGCUUCACUUUAAACCAUUUAAUCGGGGGUCUGGAGAUUUCGCUCUUCACUGUUUUUCCUGGCGCAAGCUUUUCCUGUUUCGCAUUUGUCUACUCACUCUCCCGCCUAUCUACCCCCCAUUCCUAUUUAUCCAUCCAGUAAACCUACAUUGAAUGAGUGGUUAUUAUGUGUCAUGUGUAAAGUAGGGAAAACCGGGUUCCUCCUGCCCUCAAAGAGGUUCUGGUCUGGGAAAGGAAAUAAGAUAUGUAUACUCUCAAAAGACAAAAUUACAAGAAAUGUAGUUAUAGAUUUUUUUUCUUUAUUUUAUUAUUUUUUAUUAUUAUACUUUAAGUUCUAGGGUACAUGUGCACAACGUGCAGGGUUGUUACAUAUGUAUACAUGUGCCAUGUUGGUGUGCUGCACCCAUUAACUCGUCAUUUACAUUAGGUAUAUCUCCUAAUGCUAUCCCUUCCCCCUCUCCCCACCCCACAACAGGCCCCGAAGUGUGAUGUCCCCCUUCCUGUGUCCAAGUGUUCUCAUCGUUCAGUUCCCACCUAUGAGUGAGAACAUGUAAUGUUUGUUUUUUUGUCCUUGCGAUAGUUUGCUGAGAAUGUUGGUUUCCAGCUUCAUCCGUGUCCCUACAAAGGACAUGAACUCAUCAUUUUUUAUGGCUGCAUAGUAUUCCAUGGUGUAUAUAUGCCACAUUUUCUUAAUCCAGUCUGUCAUUGUUGGACAUUUGGGUUGGUUCCAGGUCUUUGCUAUUGUGAAUAGUGCUGCAAUAAACAUACAUGUAAAUGUGUCUUUAUAGCAGCAUGAUUUAUAAUCCUUUGGGUAUAUACCCAGUAAUGGGAUGGCUGGGUCAAAUGGUAUUUCUAGUUCUAGAUCCCUGAGAAAUCUCCACACUGUCUUCCACAAUGGUUGAACCAGUUAACAGUCCCACCAACAGUGUAAAAGUGUUCUUAUUUCUCCACAUCCUCUCCAGCAGCUGUUGUUUCCUGACUUUUUAAUGGUCGCCAUUCUAACUGGUGUGAGAUGGUAUCUCAUUGUGGUUUUGAUUUGCAUUUCUCUGAUGGCCAGUGAUGAUGAGCAUUUUUUCAUGUGUCUGUUGGCUGCAUAAAUGUCUUCUUUUGAGAAGUGUCUGUUCAUAUCCUUCGCCCACUUGUUGAUGGGGUUGUUUGUUUUUUUCUUGUAAAUUUGUUUGAGUUCAUUGUAGAUUCUGGAUAUUAGCUCUUUGUCAGAUGAGUAGAUUGCAAAAAUUUUCUCCCAUUCUGUAGGUUGCCUGUUCACUCUGAUGGUAGUUUCUUUUGCUGUGCAGAAGCUCUUUAGUUUAAUUAGAUCCCAUUUGUCAAUUUUGGCUUUCGUUGUCAUUGCUUUUGGUGUUUUAGACAUGAAGUCCUUGCCCAUGCCUAUGUCCUGAAUGGUAUUGCCUAGGUUUUCUUCUAGGGUUUUUAUGGUUUUAGGUCUAACAUGUAAGUCUUUAAUCCAUCUUGAAUUGAUUUUUGUAUAAGGUGUAAGGAAGGGAUCCAGUUUCAGCUUUCUACAUAUGGCUAGCUAGUUUUCCCAGCACCAUUUCAAAAACGAUGGUUAGAUCCCACGAAGUAGGUGGUAAUGCCUUAACCGUAUGCGUGUUGUCAGGCCCAAGGGCCUCUUCCAUCCUUGUCAAAGGGAGUGCUAACCUUCUCUCCUUUAAUACAACACAGUUACAGAUCUUAACUGGCUAUUUGCGAUUCUAGCACCAGGCAACACCUUAUUCUAUAAAAUAGAAUGAGUAUUCUGAUGAGCUGAGCAGAGGAGAUUAUCUUUAUAGACAGAAAAGGGCUGAAAAAAAAAAGCAGAAACAAAGAACAAGUUUCAAAGUUAUUUUACUUGUAUUGGUUAAGGCAGAAGGGACUUCCUUUAUCAUGGGGAUAUGGCUAUUUUCCCUCUCUUCUGAUUUCUCCUAAGGUCAGAUGAGCAGCUUAAUUUUGGCUUUGUGGCUUGGAACUUUAGCAUGAGUGACUCUAUUUUGGUUUGGCCUGUUGCGCCUAGUGCAGGAGCUCAGUCCAAACCAAUGGCUUUCUAUGAAUUUUAUUUAUCAAGACAAACAUUCUAGAAGGUAGAAAAUCCAAAGAGAUUGAGCUGAGCUGGGGGUCGUCUCUAGGAGGAGAUUUAGGAGAGACUUAAUGAAGGGGUGGCAUUUGAGCUGGGACUGGGUUUGGACACUUCUCUGUCUCCACAUAGGCUAUCCCGUUUCCAUCCUCCAAGCUUAUCUACUAUUCCUCCCAAGGCAGGAGACAUUCUUUUCUUGGACAAGUUGAUACUUCUCUUUUCCUGGAUCCUGGAUCCCACCCAGUUUUGUGUCCCAAGAGACUGUCCACCCAUGUACAUUCUUUUCCUAAAAUUAUUUUUUUCACUUUUUCUAUAAUUGAGCAUCUACAAUGUACCAUGCACAGAUACUGGAGAUAGGAACACAAGCAAGACACAGCCCUAAAACCUCCCAUAUCUCUCAUGGUCUGUUGGGAGAACUAAUCAUACCCUCAAGCUACAUUAUUAAGUAGAAUACAUGCUACAAUUGAUACAAAGUACCAUUUCCGUGGGAAGGGCAAGAACGGUUCAUGGACAAAAUAGCAUAUGAAUAAGACCUUCAAGAAUCAAUAGAAUUUUAACAGUGUCUUGUAUAUACUAACCACUCUGAAAAUGUUUAUUGUGUCUGCCUGGUAGAGAUGAAGAGGAGGGCAUUUGAGGCUGAGGGAAUAGCUUGAGCAAAGGCAAACAGAAGGAAAGAACAUGAAUCUCCUCUGGCUGGAUUCAGGGUGUUUGGGGCAAUAAUAGUAGUCGAAGAAAGGUUAGAACGAGAUCAUAGGAAUUUUUUUUUCUUUCUUUCUUUCUUUUUUUUGAGAUGGAGUCUCGCUCUGUUGCUCAGGCUGGAAUGCAAUGGUGCAAUCUUGGUUCACUGCAACCUCCGCCUCCUGGGUUCAAGCAAUUCUCCUGCCUCAGCCUCCCGAGUAGCUAGGAUUACAGGCACCCACCACCACGCCCAGCUAAUUUUUGUAUUUUUAGUAGAGACAGGGUUUCACCAUGUUGGUCAGGCUGGUCUCGAACUCCCGACCUCAGAUGAUCCACCCGCUUUGGCCUCCAAAGUGCUGGGGUUACAGGCGUGAGCCACUGCGCCUGGCCAGGAAAUCUUAAAUGUCAGAUUGGGUUUUUCUUUAUAGAUUUUUAUUCUGCGGGUAGUUGGAAGCUAUCAGAAAAAUCUAUCAGAGGAUAGUAAUGUAAAAAAUUUCUCAAAUAAUUUUCAUGCCUAUGUCUUGUUUUCCUUUGGGUCUCAUGGCAUCCCUGGGAGGUGGAUAAGGCAGAUAAGGAAAUUGAAGUCCAGAAGAUCUCCCUUCUGCCUCUCAGUCUCUUAAGUCUUUAUACGUAUUUAGGCCUUCCUCUAAAUAGAAGAAAAUGCCACUCUCCAGCUUACUGCAUUUUUAACUUAUAUCCCAUUUUUUCUUUUUCUUGUAUGGCUAAACCACUUGGAUAAUUGAUAUAUACUGCUGAUAUUCUCUUGGCAUGACUUACCCUCCAGCCUCUCCUUCAUUUUACUAGAACGUUUUCUAGGCUCACCAGAGUCCACUUGACUUAGUCCAUUGGUCUCCUUCCAUAAAUCAUCCUACAUUAUAGAUUCAUUGAGCUGAUAACUGUGUGUCAAGCACAAUGCAAGGGCUGAUAUACAAAGAUGAGUAAGACACCACCUUACCAUAGAAGCUCUUUAAUAUACUGGGAGGUAAACAUCUAUACAGAUAAUUAGAAUCCUAUGUGGUGAGUGUGGGGUACAGUAAUUGGGAACUGUGGGAUGACAAGGAGGGAACACUUAGCCCAGUUUGGUGACUCAAGAGAGAUUCAAAGAGGAGAUGAUACCUAAACUGAAUCUUGGAAGAUAAGGCCAGUGGGGAAAACAUCCCAGGAAGAGGAAACAGCGUACACAAAAGCAAAGAUAUAUGAUGUGCAGGGGAAACUACAAGCAGUUUGAAGUUACUAGAACAUAAUGCACAAAAAGACAAAGGACAAGGCCAGAAAGGUAGCUUGUGGCCAAGUCAGUCUAAGGAGCUUGGACUUCAUUCUGUAGGAGGGAGGGAGCUGCAGUCCAAUGACCCUUGUGGUUCAGGGGGAGCUAUUUCAUUAGUACUUCAUUGGUGAGUAGUGCUCUGGGAAAUUGUAUGUGUGUGUGUGUGUGUGUGUGUGUGUGUGUGUGUGUGUGUGUCUGCCUGCUAUAUCUCUAUCAGGUUGGUGCAAAAAUAAUUGUGGUUUUGCAAUUACUUUUAAUGGCAAACCAUAAUUACUUUUGCACCAACCUAAUACCUACAUACCUACCUAUUUAUCUAUCACGUUGACAGGACUGUAUCUAGGUUUUGUGGAGCCCCAAGCAAAUGUUUUUGUGGGCCCAGUCUGUAUAUGCAAUUUGAUUAAAAACUGUGUUAUAGGCCGGGGGCGGCGGUUCACGCCUGUAAUCCCAGCACUUAGUGAGGCCAAGGUGGGCGGAUCACGAGGUCAAGAGAUCAAGACCUUCCUGGCCAACAUGGUGAAACCUCUUCUCUACUAAAAAUACAAAAACUAGCUGGGCAUGGUGGCACGUGCCUGUAGUCCCAGCUACUCGGGAGGCUGAGGCAGGAGAAUUGCUUGAACCCGGGAGGCGGAGGUUGCGGUGAGCUGAGAUCGCGCCGCUGCACUCUAGCCUGGGCGACAGAGCGAGAUUCCGUAUCAAAAAACAAACAAACAAACAAAACUGUGUUAUAAAAUUCAUGGACUCGUGAAGAAUAGUGAUUUAACAACAAAGAUUUAGAAUAAUUAGUAGAGAAAAGUACUUAGAUAUUUGUUUAUUGUCUAAUAAGUGCAUGUGAAUAUUCUUUACAGUGUUCAGGCACCAUCGCUUUCUGUCUGGGUCCAGGAACUAUCUCUUUAUGUUAUUGUCAAAUGUGCUAUUUCUCACUAGUUUCUGGCUACAUGAGAAAAGGGGAACAACAUUGUUAUUCAAAUACCAUGACUCUUCAGAACCUGUUUGUAUUGGCCUAUGUAGCUUUCUUUGCCCCUCCAGUUCCUAAUGCUAUUUAUUUAAAGCUGGUACUGCAGAGAGUCCCCACUAGGGCAACGCCAAGCGGAAAUGUGGGAUUGGAGCCACCACAUAGUCUGCAGUAGGGCAGUGCCUAGUGAAGCAGCGGGAAUGGAGCCAUCUCCAAGACCACAAAACUGUAGUCCUACCAGUAUGCAACUCCAGCCUGGGAACUGUAGGCAGGAGACUCAAUCCAUCAGAGCUGCUGCAUGGACCGAGCCUAGAAAGGCUGUAGAGGUGGGACUGCCCAAAGCUUUGGGGAACCAGCCUCCCAGCAUGUCCAGGAGUGGGACAUGAAUCAGAGAUUAUUCUCUAGCUUUAAGACUUAAUGUUGUUUUCCCUGUUGGGUUUUGGACUUACUUGGGACCAGUUACCCUUCUUUUCUUGCCUAGUUCUCACUUUUGGAAUGGGAAUGUCUAUCCUAUGCCUGUACCACCAUUGUAGUUUGGAAAAAGAUAACUUGUUUUGAUUUCACAGGCUCACAGCUGGAGGAAUUUGCCUUGGGAUGAAUCAUGCCUUGAGUCUCACCUAUAUCUGAUUUAGAUGAGACUUUGGACUUCAGGCUUUUGAGUUGAUGCUGGAUUGAGUUAAGACUUUUGGGACUAUUGGGAUGGAAUGAAUACAUUUUGCAAGUGAGAAGGACAUAAAUUUGGCUGGGGGGCAGGGGGAGAAUUUUAUGCUUUGAAUGUGUCCCCCCCAAAUUCAUAUGUUGGAAACUUGGCUGCCAUUGUGGCAGUACUGAAAGGUGGGGCCUUUGGGAGGCAAUUGGGUCACAAGGACAGAGCCUUCAUGAAUGGAUUGAUGUUGUUACUACAGGAGUGGACUCCUGAUAAAAGGAUAAGUUUGGCUGCCAUUGUCUGUCUGUUUCAUGUACUAACUUCUGCCUUUCACUUUUCCAUCAUGGGAUGAACUUCACCAGAUGACGGUGCCAUGCUCUUGGACUUACCAACCUCCAGAACUGUGAGCUGAAUAAACGUCUUUUCUUUAAACAUUACCCAGUGUGUGGUAUUCUAUUAUGGCAGCAGAAAAUAGACUAAGACAGCUGGUUGUGUUGAUAAUGCCAUUUAUUUAAUGCUGGUUACAUCAUUACUCAUGAUGCUGCACAAUUCUUCACUCUACGUACAAAUACUGGCUUCAUAACUCAAAGUUUGUUCCUGUGCUUCUUUAGUGAUGACACCAAUGGCAAGUUUUGCUUAGAGUAUGCAGAAAAAUGUGAAUAAAAUUUCGCCGAUCAGAGUUUUAUAUGUAUGUUUACAACAAUAUAUCAUCCAACCACAUCUUCUCUUGAGUUCUUUAGGCCUUAAUCACUGAAUUCCUAGAAGGUGAUUUCUUUCAGUGUUGACUGCACCCCUGCCUUCCACACACUGAAAUCAGUUGUCAGGGGAGGGAGUGGAUAGGCUCAGGGCCCAUGGGUGGAGCAAGAAGAGAAGUUCCAUUCAUGUAAGGAACAUCUGGCCCUCACCUGGAACAGCUUAAAACCAACCCAGUAUCUCAUGAGAUCACUAUAUUGAUCAGAGGCAAGAGAGGACAUUGAUUGUAAAAGCUGGUUGGCCUUACAGCAUAAUGGUCUUGAAUGGAGAAGAUAGGCGUGGCCACUUCUGGAGGAUUGCCUGACAUGUGUUGCAAAGCCUUGGAGAGGGGUGAACACCUUGUACCAGCUGGAGGUGGGGUACCCCAGCAGUCAGGUUAAAGGAUGCAUCCACUCUCAUUAUUGUGUCAUGUCAGAGGUGGCACUGUGGUCAUAAAUGUGGUGAGAGCCAGGGCAUUGACCCACACAGGUGGCUCAACCUCAAGGGUUGGUGGUGAACUGUUAGUAGCCCAGAGUUCUGAACUCAUAUAUCCAAUGUGAAUCACCCCAAAUUAGCCAAUCAGUACCAUUCUAGUGGCCCAGUAUUGUUCAAUGCCAUAAAAUAAAUACUGUGCUGGUCAGCAGAAGCAAUCUACUUGUCAGGUUGCCCUGGACAACCCCAUAGGCAUGAGCCCUGAACCGCCUCAGGGCAUUUGGCCAACCACACAGAUCAAGAGGUGGGUCACAGAGUACUCUGAAGAGAAACCAACUGGGAUGAUCCCAGCCACUGAAGAGAACUUAGAAUAUUUCAAGAAGAGCACUCAAAAGUGUGGGGUCCCCUGAGAAUCUGGCCUGGGGCCUGAGCUAGGGACCCUGCUUGCCUAGGUCUUAGGGCAAAUUGUGUAAUAAAAUAGAGAUGAUCUCAUAUUCUUUGCUACUGCUACCAUUGAGAGGUGGAGUCUAGUUUUAUUCCCUCUAAACCUGCGCUGGUCUUAAUGACUUCCUGGACCAACAGAAUAUGAAAGAAGUGAAAUUCUGGGAUUUUCAAGGCCAGGUUAUAAGAAGCCCUGCAGCUUCCACUCAGCUUCUUGCAGCACUUACUCUGGGAGCCCCAGCCAUCAUGGAAGAAGCCCAGCAACCUGAGGCCACCAUGCUGGAAAGGCCACGUGUAGGGGCUCCCGUUACCAUUCCCAGCUGAGUCCAGUCUUCCAGCCAUUCCCACCAAGGCAUCAUACAUGUGGGCAAAGCCAUAUCGUACCCUCUGUGUCUAUCUGUCAGCUGAAUCCUACUGUGUGACCUCUGUAGACUCCAUCUGAAAUAGAAUUGCCCAGCUGAGCCUCUGGUUGAAUUCCUGUCCCACAAAAUCAAGAGAUAUAGUAAAAUGGAUGAAUUUUAAGCCACUGACUUUUGGGCUAGUUUGUUAUGCAGCAAUAGAUAACCAACCUCAAAGAGUUUCUCAUGUAGUUGGGAUGAGAGGGUACAGGGCUUAUGAAAAUAUAACAGUGCAAGACAGUGUACGAGUGUGUAAUGAGUAGUAAGGACAAUUAAGUUCUAUCAGAAUGCAGGAAAGAAAGAUCCCUUUGAAUUAUUAUGACAAAGGAAGACUUUCUAGAGUAGAUGUGAUUUCAGCUGGACCUUGAACUACAAGGAUGUAUGGAAAGGCAGGCACAGGGCAUUCCUGGCAGGCAGUGAGAUAAAGUUGGAAUGGGUAUAGGUAGACCCAGGAGGCAAUCUGUGUGGUUUCUCUUGGCUAAGGCAAAGAGUUUCUUUUCUUUCCUUUUUCUUUUCCUUUUUUUUUUUUUUUUUUUUUUUGAGGUGGAGUCUCGCUCUGCCCCACAGGCUGGAGUACAGUGGCAUGAUCUAAGCUCACUGCAACCUCCGCCUUCCGGGUUCAAGAGAUUUUCCUGCCUCAGCCUCCCGAGUAGCUGGGACUACAGGCAUGCACCACUACGCCUGGCUAAUUUUUUUGUAUUUUUAGUAGAGACAGGGUUGCACCAUGUUGGUCAGGCUGGUCUCGAACUCCUGACCUCAGGUGAUCCACUUGCCUCGGCCUCCCAAAGUGCCGGGAUUACAGGCGUGAGCCACUGCGCCCAGCCGAAAUAGGAUAAUUCUAUUAUCCCUUCUCUUAAACUAUUAGUGGCCCCCCUACUCUCCUGGCCUGGUCACUCCCCUUCCCAGCGCACUUUCGGAUUAUUUUUCCUCCUGGCCGCCCCGCUAUUGUGUCCCACCUGUGCCAAUGCUCACAUGCCACCUUGCACCGUUG